RNAcentral lists this long non-coding RNA (5192 nucleotides) under Pan troglodytes (chimpanzee). RNAcentral describes it as "lincRNA". The record is from RNAcentral. Lineage: Eukaryota; Metazoa; Chordata; Mammalia; Primates; Hominidae.
UUCUAAUGUCACAACUUCCAAAGCUGUCGGAAACCUGCAUUUAAGCGCACCUGUCAAAGUCCUAUGGUUGAUUAUAAAACCACCUUUUAAAGAGGACCAAAACAAGACAAUUGUCUGUGGAUGACAAAAGUCUUAGGACAGCCACUAUUAAAGUCAAAAUUGAUAAUGAAAUUUGGUUAUUUCUGUGGCAUAUAACAAUGUUAUGUAACAAUUUUCACUAUUAAUAACAUACACUAAGUCAUAUCAGAAUUAUAGAACUUUCUUAUAAUUUUGGAACACAUACCAAUAACAUAUUUAUACAAAUACAGCCCAAAGUUAGCCAAACAUUAUUUCAUAUUUGACAAUGCUUCCUGUAUGAUUUUUAUACCAAAUAAGCCAAAUCUCACCUUUACAUUAGUGUACUAUUAAUGCUAAACCCUAAUCUUAAUAAAACCUUAUAGACAAAUGUAUUUAAUCUUAAUCAGUUUGACCAUAAGGUAAGAUUCUUUUUUUGAGACAGAGUUUUGCUCUUGUUGCCCAGACUGGAGUGCGGUGGCACAAUCUUGGCUCACUGCAACCUCUGCCUCCUGGGUUCAAGCAAUUCUCCUGCCUCAGUCUCCUGAAUAGCUGGGAUUGCAGGUGCCCACCACCAUGCCCAGCUAAUCUUUGUAUUUUUAGUAGAGACAGGGUUUCACCAUGUUGGCCAGGCUGUUCUUGAACUCCUGACCUCAGGUGAUCCACCUGCCUGGGCCUCCCAAAGUGCUGGGCUUACAGGCAUGAGCCACCAUGCCCGGCCCCUAAGGUAAGAUUCUUAUACCUUUUAUAACCCUUUACAAUUUUUUUUUGUUAAAGAGUGGAUUAUAAGCAGGAUUUUGCUUUAAGAAAAACCUGUUAUGUUUUUAUUCCAAUGUUUAAUUUACAGGAAAACUGAAUAAUACCCCUUUAACUUUAGCCAAUGUCCAUACACAGAAUUUCUUUUACAAUUAAUUUUUUACAAACCUUCCACAACUUGUUCAAACCUUUAGCUUGAUCCUAACUUAAAACAAUACUUUAACCCUUUAAUCUAGGCAGAAACAUCCACAUUCCCAUGACUUCUUAUAAUCUUUACCAAAAGUAUAUUCUACUUUCCUUUUCGCCUUGGGUGUAGAACUAUUUCUUGCGUAGUCUCAAAUACGGUGUUAGCUCUUAGCACCUUUUGCUUUUGGUGAAAAUCUUGGUAAGUCAGGGAUUUUUCAUUAUGUGCCAGGUGUGGGGCCUAGCCUGGGACCCACCAGACAGAAGUGCAGAUGAGGGCGGACCCUCCCGCAUGGCUAGGGUGUGGCUCUCCACGUGUCCCCAGGCCUUAGCUAGAAUCUAAUGUCCCCAAGCUAGGUAAAUUGGACAAUUUUCAAAAGUCAAAUAAGCAGUUUAUGACCUUAAGGCAUUGAGUAAACUUCAUAUCCUACCUGCAUAAUUUAGACCAAAUGUCUUUAUUUUACCAAUAAUCUUUAAAACUUUUUAUUUCCCAAAGGUUACUUAAGUCACAUGAGCUAAAUAAAAGUUAUUACACUAUUUACUUUUCUGACAAAAUAUUUGACUUAAGCUGUUAUUGUAAUUAAACCAAUUAAUCAAAACUCUUUUAUAUUACACACACAACACAUAUAAAUAGAAGACGAAGGACUCAUCCCCUAAGACAGGAAUUGGGCCCUAAACCCGGGCCGCCAUUGUGAAAAAAGAAAGCACAACCACAUGGUUACAAGUUCAAGCUCCCAGGGACCUACAAGACAAGAGGGAAACCUCAUCCAGUUUCGUUUUUUUUUCAGGGACCUGCAGCAACGUUUACAACUGACCAGUUUGCUGGGGCAUCUUGAACAGUGGGCUUAUGGGAGUCCCACUCUCCAUGGUGGUUCCCACAUCCACUCAGGGGUGUCUGGGUUCUCAGGGAUACCUGCUUCUUGCUGGGCACCGUGGCCUGGACUUACCACCUGGCCUCCAGGGUUCAGGCCGUGGACAUCUGCCCUGAAGUAGCCUGUGGGGACUGUCACGCCACAGUUAAUGUCCUGGGUCCUUGGCAUCAAGUCUGUAAAGCUGUCUGCUUUCUCAACAGCACUGUGUGGGAGUUGGCUGGGCCUCGGCGAGUGUUGCCUGUCUCUGUCGUCACUAGGAUGUUAGCGGGAAAUGGUGGCGUUCUCUCCACGCAGGUGCUGCUUUGCCUGUGGAUCAUGUUUUUCUUCUCCCUAUUGAUCAGCACACAUCACAAAUUUGAUUUGAGACGGAGUCUUGCUCUGUCACCCAGGCUAGAGUGCAGUGGCGCGAUCUUGGCUCACUGCAACCUCUGCCUCCCGGGUUCAAGUGAUUCUCCUGCCUCGCCUCCCGAGUAGCUGGGAUUACAGGCACCCGCCACCGCACCCGGCUAACUUUUGUAUUUUCACUAGAGACAGAGUUUCACCAUCUUGGCCCGGCUGGUCUCGAACCCCUGACCUCGUGAUCCGCCUGCCUCAGCCUCCCAAAGUGCUGGGAUUACAGGUGUGAGCCACUGGGCCCAGGCUAUUUUUUAAUUAAGUUAAUAGUAAGUUAUAAACAAUACAUUAUAAAUAAUAUAAAUUACAAAUAAUACAUUAAUAAAUUAAUAAUACAAUUUUUUUAAUUUUAAUUUUUAACAUGUUAGGCAUUGAGGUAAGUACAGUGGAUAAACACCCAUCACGCACAGAAAAAAGGAAUGAGGAAGGCACGUUUGCCACACAUCUGCUCCCUGCUCUGGGAGCCCUCCCUGUUCCUUGUGGUUUAAUCUUCUAGAACUCUGAUGGGGGCAUUACUGUGAGUUUUGCUUCUCCAGAAGGCUUCUUCUUAAAGCUUUCUGAGCACUGGUACUCACGAAACUCUCCCCUGGUGAAAUGAAAACACACACAGGCAGGAAGUGAGCCAGUUCUCAACUUGAGUGGCUUCUCCCCAAUGCAUGCUUUUUAAAACUUCCAGCGUUUUCUAAUCAGAUCUGGGCAAUAUUGUGGCAUCACCUCCUGCAUCCGCCUUUACCCUCCCCAUCCUGUUCUUUGUCCUAAAAAAGGCUGUGGGACCAGCUGGUCUCAGAGCCCAGGUGGAGCCUCAGCUCCCCUGCAACCUGUGUUUUUCCGAGGGUGCCGCCUGGCAGGGCCUGCGUCAGGGUCACCCUGGCAGGACCAGAGGUCAGAGGUCACCCUGGCCAGACCAGAGCCUCGGAGGUCCCUGGGCUGCAGUGAGGGAGAUCAGAGGUCGUGGGCUGGGGCCAGCCAAGAAGAGUUGGGGGCAGCAGGGAGCGCAGUCUGGCCCUUGACAUUCCCACCUGCUUGUCUGCUCCACAGGACAGUGGUCAGGAGGGCCCGGGAGUGAGUGUGCAGGGUCCUGGGUGGGCUCCACAUGCAUCUCAUGGGGCAGCAGGACCCCGAUGAGGGCACCCACAGGGUGGGAGGGUGGAGAGCUCUGCUAACCAAGAUGGGGAGGCCCGGGUCAGGGCCAGCUCUGCCUCCGAGGCUAUAUCCAGCAGCCUUUGGCCUUGCCGUGUGAGCUCGUGGAAGCCCAUGCAGUGUGUGCCCCUCUGGUUGUAUCUGGUGAGGCCUUGUACAGGGAUGAGCUCGGACCUGAGUUUCAGUCAGCAGAAAAAUAAGUUUCUGGAGGACUUGAUUCUUUUCAGGGCAUUCAGUUCUGUGUUUCGCCUGUACCCAAGAUGAGAUUUCUAAUACAGUGAUGUGUUUAAAAUUAACCAUAUCUCCAGGGCAGCAUCCAACUGUGAGCCUUGGUGAAGAAGGUCCUGGAGACGGGAGUGAAUGGGGUGGGGCCAUCCCUGGACACACAGGAGGUUCCUGGGCCCUGGGGAUGUGUCCGUGGGUGCUGAGGAGAUGAGGGGUGCAUGCUGUCUGGGUUCUUUUCUCCCCGCUCCAUCUCUUGCAAGGUGAGGAGGGGUCUGCUGUUGAUUCCUGUCCUGCCUGUGGUGCUGAAGCUCCCCUCAAGCUGGGCUUUCUCAGCAGGGAGAGUUUCUUCAUUGCUUGUAGAAGUUUAUGCUUCCCUGCUGUAGUCUGGGCAAAUUGCUCCCCAAAGGACAUGAGAGCUGAGGCUGUGUUUUUAGAGAUAGGGAGCAGCUACAGGGACUUAGCUUCUUAAUGAAUUAACUCACAAAUCUCAGCAGCUCCUGGCGAUUAGUCAAGAUAUGCAGAGCUGAUGGCAGGGAGGACACGAGGUGGCUCAAAGGGAACUAAGCUUUGCGUGUGAAUUUAGGGUGUGAGGCUAAGAGCCCUACAGGCAGGCAGAGGAAGGUGUUGGAGGGAGGAGAGGCCGGUAUAGGACCUUCGCCUUGAAGAAAGCACCCAGGUAAGGCUGGGAAGUGUUGGGAGAGAGCUUUAGUUGAUCAUUUUGUUUUUGGAUGUUUUCUGAUGGUCCUCUAUGGCUUUGGAAAAUGGAGAGAAGACAGAGAGGCGUAGGCACUGAAGGCUGCAGCUGUGAUUGAGGAUCACGACGCCUGUUGGGGCUGCUCACCUGCCCAGGCCUGGGUGAGGAGGUGCUGGGGCCUGGCUGCACACACGUUCCUGCCCCAGAACUCAGUUGGGGGCUCGGAGCAGGAGAAGCUGCACACGGUGGAUGAAGACCUGAUCAUUGAAGUUCACCAGUUAUUUUUCUCAAGAAUGUGAAUAACAAUGGGAUUUGCACUCAUUAUAUUUUUAGAAUGGCUUCGCAUAAUUUUCAGUUGGGCGUGGUGGCUCACGUCUGAAAUCCCAGCACUGUGGGAGGCAGAGGCGGGCAGAUCACGAGGUCAGGAGUUCGAGACCAGCCUGACCAACAUGGUGAAACCCCGUCUCUACUAAAAAUACAAAAAUUAGCCAGCUGUGGUGGUGGGUGCCUGUAAUCCCAGCUACUCAGGAGGCUGAGGCAGGAGAAUUGUUUGAACCCAGGAGGCGGAGGUUGCAGUGAGCCAAGAUCAUGCCACUGCACUCCAGCCUGGGUAACAGAGUGAGACUCUGUCUCAAAAAAAUAAAAAUAAAUAAAAAUAAACAAAUUAAUUAAUUUUAAAAAAGAAAUGACCUAUUUGGAAACCAAAUUUUCUUUUUGGAAGGCCCCCAUUUUGUGUUCAGUGAAAAAUUAGUUGGCAAGACAUGGACUUCUAAUCAAGUUAUUUUUGUAGUUGUGCUCAGAAUAUCUGUGGAAUAUUAGCUGACGCAAAGUAGAUUUUUCACGUUAGAUAUUGGAAUAAAGAGAGUUGCUCCUUA